Molecule: unclassified non-coding RNA, 299 nt
Filed under: plant metagenome
Description: partial contains 5.8S ribosomal RNA, internal transcribed spacer 2, and large subunit ribosomal RNA
Rfam family: 5.8S ribosomal RNA (bases 1-105)
Source: RNAcentral
GAAAUGCGAUACGUAAUGUGAAUUGCAGAAUUCAGUGAAUCAUCGAAUCUUUGAACGCACAUUGCGCUCGCCAGUAUUCUGGCGAGCAUGCCUGUUCGAGCGUCAUUUCAACCAUCAAGCUCUGCUUGCGUUGGGGAUCCGCGGCUGCCCGCGGUCCCUCAAAAACAGUGGCGGGCUCGCUAGUCACACCGAGCGUAGUAACUCUACAUCGCUAUGGUCGUGCGGCGGGUUCUUGCCGUAAAACCCCCAAUUUCUAAGGUUGACCUCGGAUCAGGUAGGAAUACCCGCUGAACUUAAGC